GGCCUGUUGAGUAUGAUUUUAGGUYUGACCUGCCCACUGAGAAUUUAAAUGGCCGCGGUAUUUUGACCGUGCAAAGGUAGCAUAAUCAUUAGUUUUUUAAUUGAAAGCUUGAAUGAAAGGUUUGAUGAGGAAAAUUCUGUCUCUAUGAAAUUUUAUUAGAAUUUUAUUUUUAAGUUAAAAAGCUUAAAUUAAGAUAGAAGACGAGAAGACCCUAUAGAGUUUUAUAUUUAAAUAAAAUGGUUAAAUUAGAGGAAUUGAAAGUUUAAAUUUUGUUUAAUUAUUUUGUUGGGGUGAUAGAAAAAAUGAAUAAACUUUUUUUUAUGUAAAAACAUUGAUUUGUGAAUAAAUGAUCCUAAAGUUUAGAUUAGAAGAUUAAAUUACCUUAGGGAUAACAGCGUAAUUUUUUUUAGAGUUCUUAUCGAAAGAAAAGAUUGCGACCUCGAUGUUGGAUUAAAAUUAAUUGUUGGUGUAGAAGCUGAUACAUUAGGUCUGUUCGACCUUUAAAAUUUUACAUGAUCUGAGUUUAGACCGGCGUGAG
This 538-nucleotide ribosomal RNA is filed under the name Trigonopterus sp. 142 AR-2022a. RNAcentral describes it as "partial large subunit ribosomal RNA". The record is from RNAcentral. Lineage: Eukaryota; Metazoa; Arthropoda; Insecta; Coleoptera; Curculionidae.